RNAcentral lists this ribosomal RNA (1974 nucleotides) under Aeromicrobium sp. Leaf245. RNAcentral's name for it is "bacterial LSU rRNA". It matches the Rfam family "Bacterial large subunit ribosomal RNA", at positions 1087 to 2925 of the family's 2925-position model. Lineage: Bacteria; Bacillati; Actinomycetota; Actinomycetes; Propionibacteriales; Nocardioidaceae. The record is from RNAcentral.
AGACAACCAGGAGGUUGGCUUAGAAGCAGCCACCCUUGAAAGAGUGCGUAAUAGCUCACUGGUCAAGUGAUUUCGCGCCGACAAUUUAGCGGGGCUCAAGCAAUCCACCGAAGCUAUGGCAUUCGUACAUGUACCCGGCCCUUUGGGGUCCAGGUGUGCGGAUGGGUAGGGGAGCGUCGUGUGGCGAGCGAAGCGGCGGGGUGACCCAGCCGUGGACGCCACACGAGUGAGAAUGCAGGCAUGAGUAGCGAAUGAGGAGUGAGAAACUCCUCCACCGAAUGACCAAGGGUUCCAGGGUCAAGCUAAUCUUCCCUGGGUAAGUCGGGACCUAAGGCGAGGCCGACAGGCGUAGUCGAUGGACAACGGGCUGAUAUUCCCGUACCGGCACUGAAGCGACCCUGCUGAAUCCAGUGAUGCUAAGUGCCCGAAACUAGCCUCCAGCUCCUUCGGGAGCAUUGGCUAGCAGAGCGCAUGACCCGAACUGGUACUAGGCAAGCAAUGGUGUGACGCAGGAAGGUAGCUCAACCGCGGCGAUGGUAGACCGCGGCCAAGGUCGUAGGGCGAACGGUAGGCAAAUCCGCCGUUCAUGUGCCUGAGAGCUGAUGGGGAGACGAUUUAGUCGAAGUGAGUGAUCCUAUGCUGCCGAGAAAAGCAUCUAGCGAUGUUUCAGAGCCGCCCGUACCCCAAACCGACUCAGGUGGUCAGGUAGAGAAUACUAAGGUGAUCGAGUGAAUCAUGGUUAAGGAACUCGGCAAAAUGCCCCCGUAACUUCGGGAGAAGGGGGGCCGGAUUCGUGAGUGGACUUGCUCCACGAAGCGUUGAAGGCCGCAGAGACCAGGCCCAAGCGACUGUUUACUAAAAACACAGGUCCGUGCUAAGUCGAAAGACGCCGUAUACGGACUGACUCCUGCCCGGUGCUGGAAGGUUAAGGGGACGUGUUAGCGCAAGCGAAGCACAGAACUUAAGCCCCAGUAAACGGCGGUGGUAACUAUAACCAUCCUAAGGUAGCGAAAUUCCUUGUCGGGUAAGUUCCGACCUGCACGAAUGGAGUAACGACUUGGGCGCUGUCUCAACCAUGAACUCGGCGAAAUUGCACUACGAGUAAAGAUGCUCGUUACGCGCGGCAGGACGGAAAGACCCCGGGACCUUUACUAUAGUUUGGUAUUGGUGUUUGGUUCAAUUUGUGUAGGAUAGGUGGGAGACUGUGAAGCCCGGACGCCAGUUCGGGUGGAGUCAUCGUUGAAAUACCACUCUGAUUGAACUAGAUAUCUAACCUAGGUCCAUUAUCUGGAUCAGGGACAGUGCCUGAUGGGUAGUUUAACUGGGGCGGUUGCCUCCUAAAAUGUAACGGAGGCGCCCAAAGGUUCCCUCAGCCUGGUUGGCAAUCAGGUUUCGAGUGUAAGUGCACAAGGGAGCUUGACUGUGAGACUGACAAGUCGAGCAGGGACGAAAGUCGGGACUAGUGAUCCGGCGCUGGCAUGUGGAAGCGGCGUCGCUCAACGGAUAAAAGGUACCCCGGGGAUAACAGGCUGAUCUUCCCCAAGAGUCCAUAUCGACGGGAUGGUUUGGCACCUCGAUGUCGGCUCGUCGCAUCCUGGGGCCGUAGCAGGUCCCAAGGGUUGGGCUGUUCGCCCAUUAAAGCGGCACGCGAGCUGGGUUUAGAACGUCGUGAGACAGUUCGGUCCCUAUCCGCCGCGCGCGUAGGAAACUUGAGAAAGGCUGUCCCUAGUACGAGAGGACCGGGAUGGACGAACCUCUGGUGUGCCAGUUGUUCUGCCAAGAGCACGGCUGGUUGGCUACGUUCGGAAGUGAUAACCGCUGAAAGCAUCUAAGCGGGAAGCACGUUUCAAGAUGAGGUUUCCCACUGGUUUAUCCAGGUAAGGCCCCCAGCAGACCACUGGGUUGAUAGGCCGGAAGUAGAAGUGCAGCAAUGCAUGGAGCUGACCGGUACUAAUAGGCCGAGGGCUUGUUUCU